CCUACGGGUGGCAGCAGUGGGGAAUAUUGCGCAAUGGGCGAAAGCCUGACGCAGCGACGCCGCGUGAGGGAUGAAGGUCCUCGGAUCGUAAACCUCUGUCAGCAGGGAAGAACGGUCACUGUGCUAAUCAGCAGUGAAUUGACGGUACCUGCAAAGGAAGCACCGGCUAACUCCGUGCCAGCAGCCGCGGUAAUACGGAGGGUGCGAGCGUUAAUCGGAAUUACUGGGCGUAAAGCGCUCGUAGGCGGUAUGUCAAGUCAAGGGGGAAAUCCCCGGGCUCAACGUGGGAACUGCCUUUGAAACUGGCAAACUGGAGUGUGUGAGAGGAUAGUGGAAUUCCAGGGGUAGGAGUGAAAUCCGUAGAUAUCUGGAGGAACAUCAGUGGCGAAGGCGACUAUCUGGCACAUAACUGACGCUGAGGAGCGAAAGCGUGGGUAGCAAACAGGAUUAGAUACCCGGGUAGUC
RNAcentral lists this ribosomal RNA (465 nucleotides) under uncultured bacterium. RNAcentral's name for it is "partial 16S ribosomal RNA". It matches the Rfam family "Bacterial small subunit ribosomal RNA", at positions 338 to 795 of the family's 1533-position model. The record is from RNAcentral.